AAAAAGGUUCGGUUGGGGAAGGGGGACGAUUAUUCCAGUCAAAGAAAAAAAAUAAAAAAAAUUGCCGGAAAAACUACGUGUCAAUGCGUAUAAACACUACUUGGGUAAAAUUUGAUUGUGGCAUUUUAGGGGAUGAAUAAAUUCAUCUUGGAUAACGAUAGGGUGGCAAUAACUAACUUUUCGGGACAAGUACAUGGAGCAACUUAUGUAUUUUCCUUUUUAUUUAUAUUUUAUUGUAGUUGUAUUUUUUUUUUUUUUGUAUAAAUAUUGUGAAUAAGUUGUAAAUAAAUUGUAUAAUCUAUUAACAGUUAGUAUAAAAAAAAUUAUUUAACUUGUACGUUGUUAUAGAUGUAUUAAUUUUUUAUCAAAUUUGUACGGCAGUUGUAUUGACAACUCACUACCAGUGGUGAUGAGGGCGAGCGAACAAAGUUUUCCAGCGAGAGUGAAGUAGAGAGGCAGAAAAAGGGUCGUGGAGUGAAGCUGAUAUCUGUUGAUUUUGAACCUGAUUUCUGUUCGAUACGUUCGAUUUCGAAGCUGAAUUCUUUCAGUUCCAAGUUGAAGUUUCAACUUCGAGUCUCCAAUCAACAAAGUAAGUGCCUAAUUCAACUAAUUUCAUCAAAAUCAAAGCCAACGAUU
Molecule: long non-coding RNA, 636 nt
Filed under: Nicotiana benthamiana
Lineage: Eukaryota; Viridiplantae; Streptophyta; Magnoliopsida; Solanales; Solanaceae
Description: long non-coding RNA (NBEN_LNC022177)
Source: RNAcentral